CUGAAGUGGAAACAACAAAACAAAAUUGGAAACGAUGUCGAAAUUUCACGAACACAGUAAUAAAUAAUUAAUUAAAUCAUCAAAUUCAAACGCAGAUAGUGAUUUGCAUACUCUACACAGACACACUCAGAUUUGUAUGGUGAUUUUACUCAAUAGGAAGAAGAAGAAGCUUUGGCCGAGACACCCAACUUAUGGCUACGGGCAGCGAUAGGGUGGCAGUCGAGCUCUGUAAAGGCAUCAAUGGUCUCGACAAAGUUGUUCUCCGUGAGUCUCGUGGCAGUUCUGUUGAGGUAUACUUGUAUGGUGGUCAAGUAACAUCUUGGAAAAAUGACCAUGGCGAGGAGUUGCUUUUUGUUAGCAGUAAGGCUAUAUUUAAACCUCCAAAGGCAAUUCUUGGAGGCAUUCCAAUAUGCUUUCCUCAAUUUGGGAGUCAUGGUGGUCUUGAGCAGCAUGGCUUUGCGAGGAAUAGAGUUUGGAGCAUUGACACUGACCCGCCUCCUUUUCCAACUGUUUCUUCAAAUAAGGCUUUUGUUGAUUUGAUCCUUAAGCCCACUGAAGAAGAUAUGAAGAUCUGGCCUCACAGUUUUGAGUUCCGUUUGAGGGUGGCUUUGGGACCUGGUGGAGAUCUGAUGCUGACAUCACGCAUAAGGAAUACCAAUGCUGAUGGAAAGCCAUUUUCAUUCACAUUUGCAUACCACACUUACUUCUCUGUUUCAGACAUCAGUGAAGUUCGGGUUGAAGGCUUGGAAACGCUGGAUUAUCUUGACAACCUACAGAGCAAGGAGCGUUUUACCGAGCAAGGGGAUGCUAUAACUUUUGAAUC
RNAcentral lists this unclassified non-coding RNA (823 nucleotides) under Hevea brasiliensis (rubber tree). Lineage: Eukaryota; Viridiplantae; Streptophyta; Magnoliopsida; Malpighiales; Euphorbiaceae. The record is from RNAcentral.